ACUUCGUCUUUGUGUUUGAUGUGCAUCUACUACGCGUAGCUAAUCUUUCGACUGCAUGAUGCCAUAUAUAGGUGUUCUGUGAUGAUACUUUAUAGCCAGGUUCCUCACGAGCUUUUGUGAUGCAUUGCAGGGACCGCCACACCGGCCAGCCAGUGCUACAGUGUCCUAAUGCAGAGAACGUAUAUUACACGGAACUGCGCUCCUUCAGAGUUAUUUAGAGUCUUCGUCAGAAGCGCGUAACAGUAACAUUACUUGGUUACGGUGCUGCUACAUGGCAGAAUAUUUGAAUGGCAGAUGUCCCGAGUGCGGCAUGUAAGUACGUACGUACGCGCGCUUGUUUAGCCUAAAUAAGAGUUUCUAUUGUUCCCCAAUGGAAAUGCACAUUCCUGAUGCAUGGUUCAGAUCUGCCGGCUAAGGGCGGUAGUGAAUAAAGUCACCAAAUUGCGGCCUCGUUGCGGUCUCGCAUUGCGGCCUCAUUGCACGGUCGGGAAAAAUUGCUUUAGAACCAAAAUUUCGCUGCGCUGUCAGUAGCCAUUCACCGAUAAGCUUUCUCCGCAGCGUAAUGCUCAGUGCAGAUGUGAUGGGGGUUGUGUGUGCGGUCGGUAUGUGACCGAUAUUCCUGAACGCAGUGUCAUUCAGCGAUGUGCACAGCUGUGGCUGAUUGUAGAAUGUGGGCUGUGACAGGAGUGAUGGGGACAAUGCUCCUGCCUCGGCCAAGGUUGCAGCGAUUUCAGAGCUGCAGGGAGCGCCCAGGCAGAACCUAAUCUCGGCCCUAUGCUGCAGCUCCAGCUUCUUGAGACGGGCACGUGGUAGUGCCACGAGUGGGAGGACGUACCGCAGGCGUGAGGUGGCUACUGCAUGGUACAGCCGCAGAGCCCACCUAGUGGUGCAGCUCUGUCCUCGGGCAACAAGCUGGGAGACUGCCUUGUGGACCCGGAGGACCUGGACAUGCAGGGUCUUGACAGCAGGCAGCCAGGUCAGCCGGUGAUGAACGUGUAGCCCCGGGUACGUCACUGCCGGGCUUCAAGGUUGCCUUCCAGUUGCAGCUGUGCAGCGGGCGGUUGCUCUUGGGUGGAGCAGCAUGGCCUCCGUCUUCCUUGCCGAGAUGGCAAGGCCAAUGCAGCUCAGUCUGCAGGACAGCAGGCAGUCGGGCCAGGUUGAACAGGAAAGGGCUCACCACUGAUCCUUGUGGGACGCCCUCUACCAAAUAGGUCCAGGGCCUGCUGAACGACUGGAUAGGGCAGGCCGUCAAAGGCCCCCUUCAUGCCGAUAAGCACCAGGAGCACGGCGUCACCGCAGGCCUUGGCCUCUUUCAGCGUGGAGACCACGUCCACGAUGGAGUCCGCACUGCAUCAGCUCCGCAGGAAGCCUAUCUGCUCAUCGGCCAGAAAGCAAUGGCCUCCAUCAGCUUGCAAGCAGCAGAGGUGGCCAAAGAACGUAAUCGGAAGAGGUGACGAGACGAAUGCAUUCUUCGUGGUUAGGAAGAGAAUUGCCAGUGGCAUCAUCCAGUUGUGUGAGGCGCUGACGACAAGAGAUAGAAGCAAACGCCAAAGAUAAGAAGUCCCACCCCAAGAUGAGUUCAUGGGUCACUCACGAAAUACCGCAAAAACAAUGUGGUGAAGAAUUUAGUCUAUGGACACACGAACAGGACACGGUGCGAUUGGACGAAUAAUAACCUUGGCCGCUGCACAAAGAGAAAGGCCGGAGUAAGGCAAUUCUUGUGUUUUAUAGAGUCCCAAACAGUCACAUGGCAAUAAUCGCCAAGCGUCUUGUAACAUGGAGCCACCUCAGAAUUGCGCCAAACAAAGAUGAUGGAUGCAGCCAGUCUUGCCAGAUAACUACAUUUUGACUAUUCUGUAUUGUUUGCAUUUUUUGUGUAAAAGGAAUUGUCGCAGAGAGUUUUAUCUUCAGUGGCCUUCAGUUGACGUCAUCUGCUACAACUAGCACAUAAGUUAACUCCAUAGCACCACUAGGAUGGAGACAUUGUGUCGUGGGGUGCUUCCUUAAAAGUGGACAAGAAGAUUCUAAAGGAAAAGUGUGAGAUGGUCACAGUAAUAACCAAGGCAUUUGGCAUGGGAAUGACCCAGCUAUGAAAGUAUUAUCAGAUGUGGACAAGCAUAUAAUACUAAAUGGCGCCUUGCACGAGUCCCAAGUGUCAAAUGUAAUGAGUAUUGUGCAUUGAAAGGGCCAAAAAUGUUUUGUACAUGCAAGGGAACACUAUGGGCAUUUGAUAACAGUUGCUUAGAUGUACUACAUUAACAGGAACCAAACGAACUCCCUUAGACAUAAGCAUGCAGCAAAUUCAAGGACUAGAUGAAGCUUCAAAGAAGUAACUGCAUUUCAUGUAGGAUAGGUGUGAAUGACCUUUGUGCACGAGAUCAGUGACAAAAACACUAAAUGAAUGCAGUACAGUGUCUGUAUCAUAUCUUGUGCAGACCAAACUAGCCUGGAGUUUCAGCGUUCCUUGUCAGUUCAUUUAAAUAGGCACUACAUUGUUCAAAGUGCAAUAUUGUUCUACAAAACAUAAUAUGCAAGAUGUAGCAUGCUAACCCUCGUGGCUCAACAACUACUGAACCGAAACCUCAAUGAGCAGUGAAGCUUCCUUGUAAUUUUCAUCGUAACCAUACUUUCGCUCUUGAAAGUGAACCUCUUUAGUGAAUUUGCUUGUGUAUUAAUUUUUCUUUAGGCAAGUAUUUUUUAUACAUGUUAAUGUCUCAAUCCUGCUUUUUCUUUCCGGGGCUAAAACAAAAUGCCUCUUAUUUCACUUUGAUCUUUUGACCUAGGAAGCCAUCAUCUGGUGCUGUGUACAGCAAGCACAUGCUUCGGGCAAGGAGGGAGCCAGCACCAUAUCUACAUCAGCAAGAACCUCGGUGCUCAAAAUAAACAUUUUCUGUGCAAA
Non-coding RNA from Dermacentor albipictus, 2899 nucleotides. NCBI's taxonomy places the organism in Eukaryota, Metazoa, Arthropoda, Arachnida, Ixodida, Ixodidae. The record is from RefSeq and is a predicted model, not a curated record.